ACCCCCAAGCUGCACAGUCUCCCCUCUGCCACAGGCAGGUGAGGAAGGGGGCAGCACCUCAGCUGAAGGGCACCAGGUCCAAGAGACACAGGGAGAUGCCUCCACAAUUCCCCGGGCUCUGUUGGGGAGCCAAGAACGGAACAUGCUGAGCCC
Suncus etruscus (white-toothed pygmy shrew) is the source of this 153-nucleotide long non-coding RNA. RefSeq lists it as uncharacterized. Lineage: Eukaryota; Metazoa; Chordata; Mammalia; Eulipotyphla; Soricidae. The transcript is spliced from 3 exons. The record is from RefSeq and is a predicted model, not a curated record.